Dermochelys coriacea (leatherback sea turtle) is the source of this 536-nucleotide long non-coding RNA. RefSeq lists it as uncharacterized. The transcript is spliced from 3 exons. The record is from RefSeq and is a predicted model, not a curated record. Lineage: Eukaryota; Metazoa; Chordata; Testudines; Dermochelyidae.
UAAGAUCUUUAAAGGAAUGUUAAUGUGUGGGGGGGAGGGAAUCCAACCCACCCUGAGCUAUCACUAUCACUAAUCCCUUCCCUUGUGCUACUGCAGUAUCCACGCCACUCGUCUCCCUUCAGAGGAAUUGGAACCAUCAUAAAAAUUUCAUCUGACUGGAGGGUGGAUUUGAAAUGGUUCAGAACAACUUGGCUUGUUCCUGGAAUGUUCCCUCAAGUCCUGGGCGUGCCCGUCUAAGAGCUCUUCUCCUCUAGCCCCUGCCCAGGUGCCAGACACUGCAUGGAAAUGUAUUGAGACAGCACUUUGCUUGCCAACGUGACAAUGGGACAGAGAAGCACACUGGGCUCCCAAGGAAGAAUGAACGCGAUGGCUGUCCAGGGUUUCUGCUCACCACGGUUGCCCCCAGAAAUUUUUUCCAUGGUGUGCACAGCCGAACCACUCUCAAGGCAGGGCUCACAGCAUCACCAGUGGGCCCCUCCAUUGUGACAAAUUUCCGAAAUUAAACUGCAUGCAGGUGCAGUCCUGAGAGCCAAGCG